This 1060-nucleotide ribosomal RNA is filed under the name Streptococcus agalactiae. RNAcentral describes it as "bacterial LSU rRNA". It matches the Rfam family "Bacterial large subunit ribosomal RNA", at positions 1 to 1065 of the family's 2925-position model. The record is from RNAcentral. Lineage: Bacteria; Bacillati; Bacillota; Bacilli; Lactobacillales; Streptococcaceae.
UAAGGUUAAGUUAAUAAGGGCGCACGGUGGAUGCCUUGGCACUAGAAGCCGAAGAAGGACGUGACUAACGACGAAAUGCUUUGGGGAGCUGUAAGUAAGCGCUGAUCCAGAGAUGUCCGAAUGGGGGAACCCACUAGUUAAUGACUAGUAUCCAUAUCUGUUAAGGAUAUGAGAAGGAAGACGCAGUGAACUGAAACAUCUAAGUAGCUGCAGGAAGAGAAAGCAAAAGCGAUUGCCUUAGUAGCGGCGAGCGAAACGGCAGGAGGGCAAACCGAAGUGUAAACACUUCGGGGUUGUAGGACUGCGAUAUAGGAUUAAUCAUUAUAGAAGAAUUACCUGGGAAGGUAAGCCAAAGAGAGUAACAGCCUCGUAUUUAAAAUGAUAGAUUAACCUUAGCAGUAUCCUGAGUACGGCGAGACACGCGAAAUCUCGUCGGAAUCUGGGAGGACCAUCUCCCAACCCUAAAUACUCUCUAGUGACCGAUAGUGAACCAGUACCGUGAGGGAAAGGUGAAAAGCACCCCGGGAGGGGAGUGAAAUAGAACCUGAAACCGUGUGCCUACAACAAGUUCGAGCCCGUUAAUGGGUGAGAGCGUGCCUUUUGUAGAAUGAACCGGCGAGUUACGAUAUGAUGCGAGGUUAAGUUGAAGAGACGGAGCCGUAGGGAAACCGAGUCUUAAUAGGGCGCCAUAGUAUCAUGUUGUAGACCCGAAACCAUGUGACCUACCCAUGAGCAGGUUGAAGGUGAGGUAAAACUCACUGGAGGACCGAACCAGGGCACGUUGAAAAGUGCUUGGAUGACUUGUGGGUAGCGGAGAAAUUCCAAACGAACUUGGAGAUAGCUGGUUCUCUCCGAAAUAGCUUUAGGGCUAGCGUCGAUGUUAAGUCUCUUGGAGGUAGAGCACUGUUUGGGUGAGGGGUCCAUCCCGGAUUACCAAUCUCAGAUAAACUCCGAAUGCCAACGAGAUAUAAUCGGCAGUCAGACUGCGAGUGCUAAGAUCCGUAGUCGAAAGGGAAACAGCCCAGACCACCAGCUAAGGUCCCAAAAUAUAUGUUAAGUG